GGUGAAAAGCACCCCGGAAGGGGAGUGAAAUAGAACCUGAAACCGUGUGCUUACAAGUAGUCAGAGCCCGUUAAUGGGUGAUGGCGUGCCUUUUGUAGAAUGAACCGGCGAGUUACGAUUUGAUGCAAGGUUAAGCAGUAAAUGUGGAGCCGUAGCGAAAGCGAGUCUGAAUAGGGCGUUUAGUAUUUGGUCGUAGACCCGAAACCAGGUGAUCUACCCUUGGUCAGGUUGAAGUUCAGGUAACACUGAAUGGAGGACCGAACCGACUUACGUUGAAAAGUGAGCGGAUGAACUGAGGGUAGCGGAGAAAUUCCAAUCGAACCUGGAGAUAGCUGGUUCUCUCCGAAAUAGCUUUAGGGCUAGCCUCAAGUGAUGAUUAUUGGAGGUAGAGCACUGUUUGGACGAGGGGCCCCUCUCGGGUUACCGAAUUCAGACAAACUCCGAAUGCCAAUUAAUUUAACUUGGGAGUCAGAACAUGGGUGAUAAGGUCCGUGUUCGAAAGGGAAACAGCCCAGACCACCAGCUAAGGUCCCAAAAUAUAUGUUAAGUGGAAAAGGAUGUGGCGUUGCCCAGACAACUAGGAUGUUGGCUUAGAAGCAGCCAUCAUUUAAAGAGUGCGUAAUAGCUCACUAGUCGAGUGACACUGCGCCGAAAAUGUACCGGGGCUAAACAUAUUACCGAAGCUGUGGAUUGUCCUUUGGACAAUGGUAGGAGAGCGUUCUAAGGGCGUUGAAGCAUGAUCGUAAGGACAUGUGGAGCGCUUAGAAGUGAGAAUGCCGGUGUGAGUAGCGAAAGACGGGUGAGAAUCCCGUCCACCGAUUGACUAAGGUUUCCAGAGGAAGGCUCGUCCGCUCUGGGUUAGUCGGGUCCUAAGCUGAGGCCGACAGGCGUAGGCGAUGGAUAACAGGUUGAUAUUCCUGUACCACCUAUAAUCGUUUUAAUCGAUGGGGGGACGCAGUAGGAUAGGCGAAGCGUGCGAUUGGAUUGCACGUCUAAGCAGUAAGGCUGAGUAUUAGGCAAAUCCGG
Molecule: ribosomal RNA, 1026 nt
Filed under: Staphylococcus aureus
Lineage: Bacteria; Bacillati; Bacillota; Bacilli; Caryophanales; Staphylococcaceae
Description: partial 23S ribosomal RNA
Rfam family: Bacterial large subunit ribosomal RNA
Source: RNAcentral